UCCUACGGGAGGCAGCAGCAAGGAAUUUUCGUCAAUGGGCGCAAGCCUGAACGAGCAACGCCGCGUGGAGGAUGAAGGCCUUCGGGUUGUAAACUCCUUUUGAGGGGAACGAUAAUGACGGUACCCUUCGAAUAAGCCCCGACUAACUCUGUGCCAGCAGCCGCGGUAAU
This 170-nucleotide ribosomal RNA is filed under the name uncultured Chloroflexota bacterium. Its description in RNAcentral is "uncultured Chloroflexi bacterium partial 16S ribosomal RNA". It matches the Rfam family "Bacterial small subunit ribosomal RNA", at positions 337 to 524 of the family's 1533-position model. The record is from RNAcentral. Lineage: Bacteria; Bacillati; Chloroflexota.